GAUGAACGCUGGCGGCGUGCCUAAUACAUGCAAGUCGAGCGAACAGACGAGGAGCUUGCUCCUCUGACAUUAGCGGCGGACGGGUGAGUAACACGUGGAUAACCUACCUAUAAGACUGGGAUAACUUCGGGAAACCGGAGCUAAUACCGGAUAAUAUAUUGAACCGCAUGGUUCAAUAGUGAAAGACGGUUUUGCUGUCACUUAUAGAUGGAUCCGCGCCGCAUUAGCUAGUUGGUAAGGUAACGGCUUACCAAGGCAACGAUGCGUAGCCGACCUGAGAGGGUGAUCGGCCACACUGGAACUGAGACACGGUCCAGACUCCUACGGGAGGCAGCAGUAGGGAAUCUUCCGCAAUGGGCGAAAGCUUGACGGAGCAACGCCGCGUGAGUGAUGAAGGUCUUCGGAUCGUAAAACUCUGUUAUUAGGGAAGAACAAAUGUGUAAGUAACUAUGCACGUCUUGACGGUACCUAAUCAGAAAGCCACGGCUAACUACGUG
Molecule: ribosomal RNA, 497 nt
Filed under: uncultured bacterium
Lineage: Bacteria
Description: partial 16S ribosomal RNA
Rfam family: Bacterial small subunit ribosomal RNA
Source: RNAcentral